CGGGGUGUGGCGCAGCUUGGCAGCGCGCCUGCUUUGGGAGCAGGAAGUCGGAGGUUCAAAUCCUCUCACCCCGACCA
RNAcentral lists this transfer RNA (77 nucleotides) under Nitrospirota bacterium. Its description in RNAcentral is "tRNA-Pro". It matches the Rfam family "tRNA". From Rfam's summary of the family: Transfer RNA (tRNA) molecules are approximately 80 nucleotides in length. Their secondary structure includes four short double-helical elements and three loops (D, anti-codon, and T loops). Lineage: Bacteria; Pseudomonadati; Nitrospirota. The record is from RNAcentral. RNAcentral also lists the same sequence under 2 other names.